CCAAAAUCUUGAUCUGCGCGGAGCUCAUUGCCUUCGUUCUCGGUUAAAACAAUGAGUAGCAUCUGAGUCUGUGAGAGCUUGGUUUAAAUUUUCAAAAUACAAAUUUGAUUUUGUGGGAAAAUAAAUGGCAUCCAUUGCUUCAAUUCGAGAAAUUACCCGUCGAUUUCCGUCCGCUAUCAAGAGGGAUUGUUUACUCAGGUUAUGUUGUUUUGUUCGAAAUGAGUCCUUUCUGUCUAGACAAUGCCUUAAUUGCAUCACAUUUGCAAACCAGAGAAGCUACAAGGCUGUGAGGCUGUCAUUACCUGCUCCACAUGUAGCCUCUCCUUUUGAUUUUUCAUUGCUAUCAGAGCGAAACAUAUUUUGGCAUCAGAACAUUCUUUGCAAAUGGCUAUGUGCAAGAAAUAUGAGUAAUGCAUCAGUUGAGCUGAAAACAGAUGAGGAUGUUAUCAGGUUUUCUUUUAGUAAGUCACUAGGUAGAGUUGGUUCUACAUAUGGCAAGGGGACGGCCAAAAGACACAAAAUGUCUAAAAAGGCCAAACUCAAUGAACUUCGUUUCUAUCGUCUGAAGGCCAAAAAGAAGAUGAACUCACCAAAUCCAGAAGUUAGGAUUAGAUAUAAACUUGAAAAGGCCAAAAGAAAGGAAGCUUGGUUGGUUGAAAAGUUGAUAAAAUAUGAGGUUCCCAGGGCCCCAGCCGAAGCAUAUGAUCCUGAAAUUUUAACUGAGGAAGAGAGACACUACCUAAAGCGUACUGGUGAGAAGAAAAAGAAUUAUGUUCAAGUUGGAAGACGAGGAGUAUUUGGCGGUGUUGUUCUCAAUAUGCAUCUCCAUUGGAAAAAUCAUGAAACUGUAAAGGUCACUUGCAAGCCUUGCAAGCCAGGGCAGGUUCAUGAAUAUGCUGAAGAACUUGCUCGACUUAGCAAAGGCAUUGUGAUUGACAUAAAACCUAACAAUGCUAUAAUAUUCUAUCGAGGAAAGAAUUAUGUGCAGCCAAAAAUUAUGUCUCCACCAGAUACCCUAUCUAAAAACAAAGCUUUGGAAAAAUACAAAUACGAACAAUCCCUUGAUCAUACAAGUAAUUUCAUUGAGAAGUUGGAGAAGGAGCUGGAAGAGUAUCUCGAGCAUAAAGCUCGAUAUAAGAAGGGAAAAGAGAGUGCACCACAGGAUUUCCUGCUAAGAACAUACUGGCUGAACCUGCCUUGAAGCGUAUGCAAUGACGUGGUCAGCAAAAAUGCACUGUUUGGGAGACAAUGGUUUUGCAUUGUCAUUAAGUAUCUUUUAGUUCUCAUUCUCAGGAGACAUGUUGCAUGCCAAUUCAAAGAGACUUGUUUAGUUUACUCAUUUAUUAGUGACCAAUGCCAUGUGCUAUUUACAUGGAGCCACUAUUUAUAUUGACUAAAGAACCAUGAAAUUCUACACCUACAGUUACUGCCAAAGGCUUAUUGGUUUCUCUUUGCUUUGACUGCAAAUGUGAGGAAAAUGGUUGAGCUUAUGGAUUCUAUUCUUCUAGAUUAUGACUCCUGGUGGUGUUGUCUCAUUGGCCUUUGGUAUCAGCCGGGGCUGAAAUCUGUCAAGAUAUUCUCUUCUUCUGGAUGAUAAUGGAUGCAACCCAACUUUGAGUUAAAUAGUCAUCUUCUUGGCUGGAUGAUACUGAGUGGCUGAAAGGAUGAUUGUGGUUUAUUUGGGUCCAUGAGAUUAGACACAUUACACAAGCGCUAAGCAUUUGAUCAACUACAUCAAAUGCAUGUGAGCGUGCAGGCGUGAAAUACGCUAAUCCUGGCUACAGGUGGCUUUCAUUGCCAUUGGAAUUAUAUCUGAUGAUAGUUGCUGGACACACCACUUGAUUUGGGAACCUCCCAAUUGCAUCAGUGCACUGCUUUUAGAUGGUCUAACAACUGAGAACCAGCCAUGGGUAAGGAAAAGCCCCUUAUAUCUGACAUCUAAGAACCUCUUCCAUCUUGUUUACGCAUUGUACAAAUUGAAAUAAACAAUUUUGUAUAUGGAUUAUUGAAAUCAUCUUCUCAGUCGCUGCUGUAAGAGUGCUUUUUUGUGAAGCUUUUCCCAGUGUAGUUAUAAAUAAGGUGGCUGAAAGAGCAGGAUGCACUAAGGAUGAUUAUAAAUUUUUUUUUUUCUGAAUAAUCUUUUACGCUGUUGUUCCAUCAUAGAAAGCUUUCACCCAUGGUGCUGUGCAAUUAAGUGUAAAGCUUUGUUAACCUUUUGACAUUUUAUAUUUUCAAUUUAAUGAAGUUGUAGCUUCACCAUGAUUUCGACCCAA
Molecule: RNA transcript, 2273 nt
Organism: Theobroma umbraticum
Lineage: Eukaryota; Viridiplantae; Streptophyta; Magnoliopsida; Malvales; Malvaceae
Gene name: RNA-binding CRS1 / YhbY (CRM) domain protein
Source: RefSeq, a predicted model, not a curated record